AUGCCUUUGGAGUUCACGAAGCACUUCCCCGCCGUCCCUGCAGAGUUCAAGCUCAAGACGAACACCGGCUGCGCAUGAAGGGUCACAAUGAGGAUGGUUGACGGGAGGGUCACCCUUGAUCAGGGUUGGGCCACCUUCGCCGCCGUUCACCAGAUCAUGAUCGGGUACAUGCUGACGUUCAAGCUGCUGCCCGACACCAUGAAGGUGAUCGUCUUCAAUGACGAGGGCAUGGAGGUGGUCAUCAAGUGCAAGGAGCACGACAACGCCUUCGCCGUUACCGCCUGA
This 285-nucleotide ribosomal RNA is filed under the name Triticum aestivum (bread wheat). Its description in RNAcentral is "partial small subunit ribosomal RNA". Lineage: Eukaryota; Viridiplantae; Streptophyta; Magnoliopsida; Poales; Poaceae. The record is from RNAcentral.